AAGUCAACAUUUUUUCAACCAAGUAAAGGCGAUUAAAAAGUUACUAGGAGCUCCAACACCAGUACCGCAAGGGAAAAGUGAAAUAAAAAUGAAAUAAAUUUAAAGCACUACAAAGUAGAGACUUUCCCUUGUACCUUUUGCAUCAUGGUCUAACUAGUUUAACCAAGCAAAACGAAUUUUAAGUUUGCCCCCCCGAAACUAAGCGAGCUACUUCAAAACAGCCUUAUGGGCCAACCCGUCUCUGUUGCAAAAGAGUGGGAAGAUUUUCAAGUAGAGGUGACACACCUACCGAGCCUAGAGAUAGCUGGUUAUUCAAGAAAAGGAUAUAGUCCAAUUUUAAACCUCAACACAACCUAAAAUAUACCCCCAGAUUUAAAAUUUAUUCAAAUAAGGUACAGCCUAUUUGAAACAGGAUACAACCUAUUACGCAGGGUAAUGUUUUAUUAUAUGACUAAGUAGGCCUAAGAGCAGCCACCUUAUAAAAGCGUUACAGCUUCACCAUACACAUGACCAAUCCCGACUAAAACUCAAAACCCUCUCUCAAUAUUGAAUGACCCCAUACUUAUAUGGAAAACCCUAUGUUAGAACUAGUAACAAGAAUAAAUUCUCCAUCAAAAGCAUGUGUAAACCGGAAUGAACUACCCACCGGCAUUUACCGCCAAUGAGUAAAUAGUAGCAACAACACAAGAAAACCCUACUUAACCCAAGCGUUAACCUCACACCAGAACUUUCCUGGAAGAUUAAAAAAAGGGGAAGGAACUCGGCAAAUAGUAACCCCGCCUGUUUACCAAAAACAUCGCCUUCUGUGACCAAUAGAAGGUCUAGCCUGCCCAGUGACAAACUUAAACGGCCGCGGUAUUUUAACCGUGCAAAGGUAGCGCAAUCACUUGUUCUUUAAAUAAGGACUAGUAUGAAUGGCAUCACGAGAGUUACACUGUCUCCCCCAUUUAAUCAGUGAAACUAAUCUCCUCGUGAAAAAGCGAGGAUAACCCCAUAAGACGAGAAGACCCCAUGGAGCUUUAAACUAGUAUCACCUGCAUUAUUUUUCAUCAAUUAAAUUUAGCAGAUUUGUCCUACUAGUUUUUGGUUGGGGUGACCGCGGAGUAAAACAAAACCUCCACGAUGAAAGGAACUAACCUCCUAAUCAAAGAGCUACUACUCAAAGAAUCAAGACAUUGACCUAAAUUGACCCAAUAUUUUUGAGCAACGAACCAAGUUACCCUGGGGAUAACAGCGCAAUCCAUUUCAAGAGCCCCUAUCGACAAAUGGGUUUACGACCUCGAUGUUGGAUCAGGGUAUCCCAGGGGUGCAGCC
Molecule: ribosomal RNA, 1314 nt
Filed under: Choerophryne siegfriedi
Lineage: Eukaryota; Metazoa; Chordata; Amphibia; Anura; Microhylidae
Description: partial 16S ribosomal RNA
Rfam family: Bacterial large subunit ribosomal RNA
Source: RNAcentral